RNAcentral lists this ribosomal RNA (564 nucleotides) under uncultured archaeon. RNAcentral describes it as "bacterial SSU rRNA". It matches the Rfam family "Archaeal small subunit ribosomal RNA", at positions 312 to 879 of the family's 1478-position model. The record is from RNAcentral.
CGCCAUUCGCCCUUGGGGUGCAGCAGGCGCGAAAACUUUGCAAUACACGAAAGUGUGACAGGGCUAUCCCGAGUGCCAUCCGCUGAGGAAGGCUUUUACCCAGUCUAGAAAGCUGGGGGAAUAAGGAGAGGGCAAGUCUGGUGUCAGCCGCCGCGGUAAUACCAGCUCUCCGAGUGGUGUGGAUGUUUAUUGGGCCUAAAGCAUCCGUAGCUGGCUAAGUUAGUCCCUUGUUAAAUCCACCGAAUUAAUCGUUGGAUCGCGGGGGAUACUGCUUGGCUAGGGGACGAGAGAGGCAGACGGUAUUUUCGGGGUAGGGGUGAAAUCCUAUAAUCCCGGGAAGACCACCAGUGGCGAAGGCUGUCUGCUAGAACGCGCCCGACGGUGAGGGAUGAAAGCUGGGGGAGCGAACCGGAUUAGAUACCCGGGUAGUCCCAGCUGUAAACGAUGCAGGCUAGGUGUUUGGACGGCCACGUACCGUUCUAGUGCCGCAGGGAAGCUGUUAAGCCUGCCGCCUGGGGAGUACGAUCGCAAGAUUGAAACUUAAAGGAAUUGGCGGGGGAGCAC